RNAcentral lists this unclassified non-coding RNA (3147 nucleotides) under Hevea brasiliensis (rubber tree). The record is from RNAcentral. Lineage: Eukaryota; Viridiplantae; Streptophyta; Magnoliopsida; Malpighiales; Euphorbiaceae.
GCGGUUAAUGCCAACAAUAAUAGUUAAGUUUAUACUAAGAGUAACAUGAUUGUUUAGAACAAAUGGAAAUGUCUAAAAUAUCACAUCAAGGCACAAAUUCGAAUUCAGCAGCCCACAUCUUCCUACUUGAUUGGAUCACUUGGGAAAAAAAGAAUGGAAAUUAUACUUACAUAAAAAUGUAAAUAAAAAAGCAAAGAUUCAUUCCUUGUGUUUGAUCAAUUACCUAAAUACACAAUCAACUCCCUUGUUAUACACAUCUAUCAAAUACACAAGGAUUAGUUGAUCAACAAUAAAUCUUGACAGUUACCUGCAGCCAUACAAUGGAGUGCAGACUAAAGGCCUCAAAUCCAUCAUAUUAAGAAUGGAAUGCACAAGAUUCUCAUCUUUUAAUCUUCAAGCACCAGAUAUAGGAACAAUUUCCCCAUAAACAAACUUACCAAAAGAAUUAGCACAAUAAUCUGAUUUGCUUGGAUUGAAGCCUACAAGAUCCUUAAAAAAGUUCUCAAAUGAAAUGGCCAACUUGAGUUCUAGGUGUUGUCCAGCAUGAAUGACAGCACUGAAUUGGUCCAGAUUUUACCUCAAAUAGUAGGAAAUCGACUGUGCCAAAAAUGAGGUCAGAAAGGUAUAGAAGAGGAAGGAGGAACGCAUAAAAGCACCACCCUUGCACCAAAUUAGCGGCAUGGAGAAAUUCCAAUGAAUGAAAAAAAAAUUAUCACAAUGACCAAUCAUCUCCUCAAGACUGAGAACAACAGUGCCUAAACACCACUUUCAAUGUUCCAUUAAGGCAGUUUCAGUUUCUGACAGUGGAGCAAGUAAAUCUUCAUAUGAAUCUGUUAAUAGGGAUGUGUCCAUUAGCAAAGGAGGUGAGAAGACCUGAUCAUGUGAUUCCUCAAUAUCAUAAAAAGGCCUGUGCCCACCAAACAUUGCACCAUUUGAGCCAGCAGCCGAAAGAAAGCCAUUUACAUGGUUGUAAUCAGUAAUAGAAUCCAAAUCAUUUAAAAUGUCUGGUAUAUCAUUGUAAUUCCCAACUUGACCACCAGGAGCAUGAUUCUCAAGCAAAGCAGUGUCCUUUUGAGAUGUAAGCAAUCUUUCACUCCUCCUUGAAGCUACUUUGUUUUCUAGGUCCAGGGAAGAAAAUCUAGUUGCUGAUAGAGGUAAAAAGAAGUGCUCAGAAAUUUCAUCAGUGUGACUGUCUCGAGAUGAUUCUGAAUUCAAGGAUUGUCGGGUAGAAAGCGCUGCUUCUCUUACAGAUCUUUUUAAGUUUUGAACAUAAGAAUUAUCACUAUCUUGUGGUGUAUUAUCUAAGCGACUAUUUGAUAAAGGCUGGUCCAGAGAGUUCCUUUCAGACAUAUUUUCCAUCUGGUUGAUUUGGGGAGCUACAGUUUGUCUCUUUUGCAUGUUUCCACCUUUUCCUGAAGAAUUUGGGGUCAAACUGAAUAACUGUGGUAGUUUUAAAGCAGGGGGACUAGCAGACACCUUGUCAAGAUGAACAGCGGACAUUUUUGAGGUCACCUCAGCAACAUCAUCUGAGCUACUUUCCAGGGUCCUUCCACUGCUCUGAGCCUGUGUAGGUGAUGUUGCUCGGCCACGAUGCUUGGGCAUGGGUGGAAGGCUGGAGGAUAUAUUAUUUACCUUCUCUGUACACUCAGCUAUUGACUUUUGUAUUGCUGGAGCAACUUCCUUAAGUUGAUUAAUAAGCACCUGAAAACUAGCCAGGUGUUGCUGAUGUUCUGCAAGAGUUGCAGCUAAAGACUCAACAUGUCCACUUGCACCAGCCUCAUGUGCACUUCGUAAUAAAUCUGGACCUUCUCCAUCAUUAGCUUUGGCCAGAUGAAGCGACUGUUUAUGAAUACGUUGCAAUGCAUGUGUCCAACGCCUAAUAAUUUCUGCUACAUCAACAGAGGUGUGGACUCUUCCCCCUCUAUCAUCCACCAGAGACUGUGUGUCACCAUUUGCUUGUAGAUGGGAUGAAUCCAAAUUGUUCUUCAGCUUUUCCCUAUUUACAUUUAUAUUUGAACCAUCAUUUUCUUCCUUGUCACCUAAAUGUGUAUCUGGAAAGGGACCUUGUGAACUUUGGUCCAUAGCCGAGAGCAAAGAUGAUCCAGAGAUACGAUAUCUAUGCUCCCGAUGAGCUAUUAAGUCCUCAAUUGGGCCUGAAGCAAGAACUUCAUGUUGACUUUUACGCACUAAUAUAGACUCCCACAAGCGAGUAGCCUUUGAAACUAAAUGAGCAUUCUGACUAGAACUUGAUACAAGAUCAUCCCACAAUUCUCCUUCCAACUUUACUUUGUUCCUCAAAUCAUGCAGUUUUUCAAGUUCUUGCUGCAAAUAAGCCUGGCAUCCAGGUUUCCACAGAAAAAAGUGAACAAAAACUCAGUUGUUGUCUGCUGAAACUUUCACAAAAAUGUCAAGGAGUUUCCCCUUUACCUCUUCAGCACAAAGACCACGAAACUCUGCAGUCAUGUCAUGAGCCAAAUUGGACCACAUAGCCUGUCUCUGCACAGCUGUUUCUGCAUUCUUAAGAAACCUCCUUCUUUCAAGGGCUAUUCUAGCCUUCGUUACGGGAAGCAGUGUAGCUGCGUGCUGAAAGGCUACAUCAGUUAGGGAUGCAGGCAAUGGGUUGGAAGCUACAUCAGUAGCAAAUGUCCGUCUAUGAACCUCCCGCAGAGCAUGCAAAGAAAGUUGCCAUAAAAGUUCAACAAACCUCGGUCCACAGCAAGUAGCAAGCGAAGAAACCCUCGAAUUGCUCCGUGGAAGCGCCCCUUGAGAUUCGAGCUCACUGAUAAUCCCUUGGACAACCUUACGAAAAUCACGCGACUGCGCAGAAUCGAAAAUCGGCCAUACCUUAUCGAAAUCUUUGGCGGAUUGAACGGGGCCGCGAAGGGAUGAGAGGAUGAAAUAGAGGAGCUGCUCGCCCAAUUUAGGAUUGGAGUGGCGGAAGAGUCCGACUCGAGGAGUGCCGUUGGAAGCUCCAAGUCCGAUAAUGUUCGGAUCCAGGCCUAAAAGCAAGCAGUUGGUGUACAUUGCGCUUUCUAGCUCUAUCUCUCUCUCCUUCUCUCUGUCCAUCGUCAUCUAAAUUUCGACCUCCGCACUCUCUCUUCAGAUUUCUCCUUCUGCUCCGUCGUUCUCUCUCCUGUCUGCUUUGCU